UCGGAUAUGGUGUAACGGCUAACAUUGCUGCCUCUCAUAUCUACAGCCAACAGUUCUGCGCGGCAGCUCGGGGUUUGAUUCCCCGUAUCCGAA
Molecule: transfer RNA, 93 nt
Filed under: Armillaria solidipes
Lineage: Eukaryota; Fungi; Basidiomycota; Agaricomycetes; Agaricales; Physalacriaceae
Description: tRNA-Glu
Rfam family: tRNA
About the family: Transfer RNA (tRNA) molecules are approximately 80 nucleotides in length. Their secondary structure includes four short double-helical elements and three loops (D, anti-codon, and T loops). Further hydrogen bonds mediate the characteristic L-shaped molecular structure. tRNAs have two regions of fundamental functional importance: the anti-codon, which is responsible for specific mRNA codon recognition, and the 3' end, to which the tRNAs corresponding amino acid is attached (by aminoacyl-tRNA synthetases). tRNAs cope with the degeneracy of the genetic code in two manners: having more than one tRNA (with a specific anti-codon) for a particular amino acid; and 'wobble' base-pairing, i.e. permitting non-standard base-pairing at the 3rd anti-codon position.
Source: RNAcentral